Molecule: ribosomal RNA, 543 nt
Filed under: uncultured bacterium
Lineage: Bacteria
Description: bacterial SSU rRNA
Rfam family: Bacterial small subunit ribosomal RNA
Source: RNAcentral
UGGGGAAUAUUGCACAAUGGGCGCAAGCCUGAUGCAGCAAUGCCGCGUGAGUGAAGACGGCCUUAGGGUUGUAAAACUCUUUCGCUAGGGAAGAUAAUGACGGUACCUAGUAAAGAAGUCCCGGCUAACUCCGUGCCAGCAGCCGCGGUAAUACGGAGGGGACUAGCGUUGUUCGGAAUUACUGGGCGUAAAGAGCUCGUAGGCGGUUCGGUAAGUCGGGUGUGAAAACUCUGGGCUCAACCCAGAGAGGCCACUCGAUACUGCUGUGACUAGAGUGCGGUAGGGGAGCGGGGAAUUCCUGGUGUAGCGGUGAAAUGCGCAGAUAUCAGGAGGAACACCAGUGGCGAAGGCGCCGCUCUGGGCCGUAACUGACGCUGAGGAGCGAAAGCAUGGGUAGCAAACAGGAUUAGAUACCCUGGUAGUCCAUGCCGUAAACGUUGGGCACUAGGUGUGGGUCUCAACCAACGAGAUCCGCGCCGUCGCUAACGCAUUAAGUGCCCCGCCUGGGAGUACGGUCGCAAGAUUAAAACUCAAAGGAAUUGA